AUGAGUGGUACUGGAUAGUGCUAUAUGACUUUCAAUGUAUUAGGUUUAUCCAACUCGUUGAAUAGUUUAAUGGUAUAUUUCUCGGUAUUCUAGGCUCGGCCUUACAAUAUAACAAACAAGUUUGACCUCAAAUCAGGUAGGAUUACCCGCUGAACUUAAGCAUAUCAAUAAGCGGAGGAAAAGAAACCAACAGGGAUUGCCUUAGUAACGGCGAGUGAAGCGGCAAAAGCUCAAAUUUGAAAUCUGGCACCUUCGGUGUCCGAGUUGUAAUUUGAAGAAGGUAACUUUGGAGUUGGCUCUGUCUAUGUUCCUUGGAACAGGACGUCACAGAGGGUGAGAAUCCCGUGCGAUGAGAUGCCCAAUUCUAUGUAAAGUGCUUUCGAAGAGUCGAGUUGUUUGGGAAUGCAGCUCUAAGUGGGUGGUAAAUUCCAUCUAAAGCUAAAUAUUGGCGAGAGACCGAUAGCGAACAAGUACAGUGAUGGAAAGAUGAAAAGAACUUUGAAAAGAGAGUGAAAAAGUACGUGAAAUUGUUGAAAGGGAAGGGCUUGAGAUCAGACUUGGUAUUUUGCGAUCCUUUCCUUCUUGGUUGGGUUCCUCGCAGCUUACUGGGCCAGCAUCGGUUUGGAUGGUAGGAUAAUGACUAAGGAAUGUGGCUCUACUUCGGUGGAGUGUUAUAGCCUUGGUUGAUACUGCCUGUCUAGACCGAGGACUGCGUCUUGA
Molecule: ribosomal RNA, 720 nt
Filed under: Debaryomyces hansenii
Lineage: Eukaryota; Fungi; Ascomycota; Pichiomycetes; Serinales; Debaryomycetaceae
Description: eukaryotic LSU rRNA
Rfam family: Eukaryotic large subunit ribosomal RNA (bases 123-720)
Source: RNAcentral